RNAcentral lists this ribosomal RNA (833 nucleotides) under Pseudomonas sp. Its description in RNAcentral is "bacterial SSU rRNA". It matches the Rfam family "Bacterial small subunit ribosomal RNA", at positions 36 to 873 of the family's 1533-position model. Lineage: Bacteria; Pseudomonadati; Pseudomonadota; Gammaproteobacteria; Pseudomonadales; Pseudomonadaceae. The record is from RNAcentral.
CGUGCGGCAGCUACCAUGCAGUCGAGCGGCUGACGGACUUCGCUCUGGUAUUCAGCGGCGGACGGGUGAGUAAUGUAUCGGAAUCUGCCUGGUAGUGGGGGACAACGUUUCGAAAGGAAAGCUAAUACCGCAUACGCCCUACGGGAGAAAGCGGGGGAUCUUCGGACCUUGCGCUAUCGGAUGAGCCUAUGUCGGAUUAGCUAGUUGGUGAGGUAACGGCUCACCAAGGCGACGAUCCGUAACUGGUCUGAGAGGAUGAUCAGUCACACUGGAACUGAGACACGGUCCAGACUCCUACGGGAGGCAGCAGUGGGGAAUUUUGGACAAUGGGGGAAAGCCUGAUCCAGCCAUGCCGCGUGUGCGAAGAAGGCCUUCGGGUUGUAAAGCACUUUUGGUUGGAAGGAAGGGCAGUGGGUUAAUACCUUGUUGUUCUGACGUUACCUGCAGAAUAAGCACCGGCUAACUUCGUGCCAGCAGCCGCGGUAAUACGAAGGGUGCAAGCGUUAAUCGGAAUUACUGGGCGUAAAGCGCGCGCACGUGGUUCGGUAAGUUAGAUGUGAAAUCCCCGAGCUCAACCUGGGAACUGCAUUUUUAACUGGGGAGCUAGAGUGUGGCAGAGGGAGGUGGAAUUCCGUGUGUAGCGCUGAAAUGCGUAUAUAUACGGAGGAACACCGAUGGCGAAGGGGCCUCCUGGGGUGACACUGACACUCAUGUGCAAAGCGUGGGGGAGCAAACACGAUUAGAUACCCUGUACUCCGCGCCCUCAUCAUGUCAACUAGCCAGUUGGGGCGGUCGGGGGGGUUUGCCCGCCCUCACCCCAAUUGACCCCCGGG